Long non-coding RNA from Musa acuminata AAA Group (dessert banana), 1019 nucleotides. RefSeq lists it as uncharacterized. The record is from RefSeq and is a predicted model, not a curated record. NCBI's taxonomy places the organism in Eukaryota, Viridiplantae, Streptophyta, Magnoliopsida, Zingiberales, Musaceae. The transcript has 6 exons.
UCUCUGGGGUCCACGGCUGAGAACCACUAGGACUCGGAUUCCUCUGUUUUCGUCGCUCGGCCGCGAACACCCGAGAUCCUAACUACCGAUCCCACCAAUAUUAUGACGGCACUCUGGCCGUCGACCCCCUUCGUUGGCCUCCUCCCUCCCGCACAAGUUCUGUGCCUGCCGUUUCUAAUUCGCUUGUUGUCAUCUUCGGUGUGUGUCUUUCGGUCACGAGCGAGAGAGACCAAGCGGGGAUUCCAACCCACCCAUCUAUCGAGAAAGUAAUGGGAAACGUGGUUGGGCAUCUCCGGGUCAGGGCGGUGGUUGGCGUCGACCUCGUCCAGCGUUCGUCCUCAUCGUCCUCAGGGCGAUCAGAAAAGGAGUAAUUUGAAUCAAGAGUGGAACGAGGACUUGAAUUUAUCUCUCAGAUACCAUCUAUCCCUUAAGCUUUCUUUCCAGUGUCGUCAUGGGAAGGCGUACCUGUUCAAUCAUGGUACAAAUAUCUCUGUCGGAGACGAAGAAGAGAGAGUGCUGUUUUCUGGAAUGCACACCGUAGCUGACAUUUUCUGCUGCUGCUGUGGACAAAAUGUUGGUUGGAAAUACAUGAUGAUCUCAAAGCUGUUGGAAGUCAAUUUUAUAUGCGGGCUAACACAUUGUAACCGGGUUCGAUCAUGUUUGACAACUGAGCCAUGUGGAAUGCGCUAAUGUGGUCGCACAAGAGAAGAUCCAAAAGUACAAAGAAGGAAAAUUCGUCUUGGAAAGGUAACUCUGUGGUUGUUCCAAGAUUUGAUUCUGUUAAAUCUGCGGGGAGGAAUUGAUGGGCGGGCUACCUCGACAUUUUGCAGGGGUAGAAUAGCUGAUGGAACUGACUUGGAGUUCUACGUCGAUACCCGUCCGAGCGGGAGUGGUAGUGUACGAUGUUUUGACGUGGAUCAGCUCAUAAACUAUUUUGAUGUUGAAUUUAUGUUCUUGGGUUUCAUUUGGUGGAUCAUUAUUAUUGAUUAUAUUUGAAUUGUUCACCUGUGGAAACACAA